CCUACGGGAGGCUGCAGUGAGGAAUAUUGGUCAAUGGACGCAAGUCUGAACCAGCCAUGCCGCGUGCAGGAAGACGGCUCUACGAGUUGUAAACUGCUUUUGUACGAGGAUAAACGCAGAUACGCGUAUCUGUCUGAAAGUAAUGUACGAAUAAGGAUCGGCUAACUCCGUGCCAGCAGCCGCGGUAAUACGGAGGAUUCAAGCGUUAUCCGGAUUUAUUGGGUUUAAAGGGAGCGUAGGCGGUCGGAUAAGUUAGAGGUGAAAUCCCGAGGCUCAACGUCGGAAUUGCAUCUGAUACUGGUCGUCUAGAGUGUAGUUGCGGUAGGCGGAAUGUGUGGUGUAGCGGUGAAAUGCUUAGAGAUCAUACAGAACACCGAUUGCGAAGGCAGCUUACCAAGCUACUUCUGACGUUGAGGCACGAAAGCGUGGGGAGCAAACAGGAUUAGAUACCCGAGUAGUC
This 460-nucleotide ribosomal RNA is filed under the name uncultured bacterium. RNAcentral describes it as "partial 16S ribosomal RNA". It matches the Rfam family "Bacterial small subunit ribosomal RNA", at positions 338 to 795 of the family's 1533-position model. The record is from RNAcentral.